Molecule: long non-coding RNA, 2539 nt
Organism: Sciurus carolinensis (gray squirrel)
Lineage: Eukaryota; Metazoa; Chordata; Mammalia; Rodentia; Sciuridae
Exons: 4
Source: RefSeq, a predicted model, not a curated record
AGUUUGUUUGUGCUCAGAGCAGCGAAAGGGAGAGCCCUGGCCGCAGGGAAGGGCAGGGACCAAGGUGGGCGGAGAGUAAACCCCGAAGAAUGGCAGCUGUGGACUGGACUGCAAGAACUGCCGCAGGAGAGGACCUGCUUCCGGAAACAGGCUCCUGAAGAUGGAGACACCCAGAUUCUGCUCUGGCCGACCACAUCCACCACAGAUACACCAGGUGGACUGAUGCGCUGAUGGCCAGGAUGGACCAAGCACCCAGGAGUUCAAAGGAGGACACAGCAUCUCCCCAUCACAACCUUCUAUGGGGCCAGGGUUCAUGGCUGCCCCCAUUUCAUCAACAAGGAAGCAUCGCCACAGACAACCUCUUGAAUAUGAAGACAUUUUAAUCCUGAGCUUUACUUCCUUGGACCAGGACUGUGAACUUGGCCAUCUCUGGUUCUGGGGAGGAAGGAGGUAAGGAGAAUCUGGGGAAUUUGGAGAAGGAAAAAGGAAUGGGUCAUGAGACUGGGGUGGGUAGGACGGUGUGUUCCCAUGGGCACACCGAGGCAGAACUUGGCCUCUAUGGUUAACUGGUUCCACGAAGCUGAACCUGACCUGCUGAAAGGGCAGGGUUGCCCGCCUCUCCCCUCUCCUUGCACAUGAGGAUUUCCCGGGGAGUAGCAUUGAGGUGUAAGGGAGCUUGGGUCUCAGGUUCCUCGAUUGGGACUUUUCAUUCCCUGUAGCAGAACAGGGAACUUAAUUUCUACUAGGCCUAGGACUCAUGCCCGAUUAUUUUCCCCAGUACAUCCUUCUGGAUUUGCUCUGUAAAUAUUUAUAUAAAAAUAAAUUCUAGGGCAGAGUUGAAUCACCCUGAGCAAAGAGCACUGUGGGCCAGGCAUGACCUGAGCUAGUCACCUAACACUCUCAGUUGCUGGACGGCAAACCAGUCCUCAUUUCAGCCCUUCGGGUUAGGGUUUCCCAGCCAGCAGCCACUGUCACACUUAGCUUUGGGAAGGGCACUUCCAGCCCUCGAACCAUGCAUAGACCUCCACGUAAAGCACUGACAUCUGUAGACCCCUGAGGGUCAGUUUAUAUAACCCCUGUCCCUCUUACCAGGAGUCACAAAUUCACUGAAGCCAGCCCCCAGGAGUGUUUUGUUUGGUCAACAGUGGCUUAAAAUUAACUGAUUUUGGAUUCCUUCAGGUGGAGUUGGUUCCAGCUCCUCCACAGACCCCACUAUUCCCUUUAGUUCCUGUGCAAGUAUGGUUUACAUAUUUACAUUACCUUCCAGGCCCCUGAAGAUCCCUGAGAUUUUCAAUCCGUUAUCUUGUGUCUUUGUACUCCACAAAGAGCAGACACUUAAGAAAAGAAACCAAGUGUUUGCUGUCUCUAAAUGAAUGUGUUCCGGAGACUUCCAUAAGCCUCACGAACCGAAACGUGCACUGCUUUGGCUUGUUUUUGGUGACCCAACUUGGUUCUCCCAAGGAUCUACCAGGGUCUGGGCAUAGGAUCCAGACCUUCCAGGGGAGGCCUGGCUGGUGCAGAUCUCUGUGGAAUCCCAUCAUUUGGGGGAGAAGGUGGAACUGGAACCUCCCCCUGCCAAAGUUCAGUCACUUACGUGCUGCUUUCACCAAAUCAAGUUUGGGGCAUUUGUGCUUUGCAAUCUGAGCUCCUGGGAAUGCCGUGAAAUAGAUAAAGAGCCAAGACAGUACUACAGGGGUCACAGAUCCCCAUAAUGUCACUACACUGCAACUCCAGGGAGUUCAUUCCCAGAGACUUUCUGAGAAUGCUGCUCAUCACUGUGGCUCUGAGGCCCCAUCUCUGUGCCUUGAAAAUUGUGUUCACUGAGCAUUCCAACUCUGCAGUCUCCGAGUCUUUUGGACAAUAUGUUCUCUGUCGGUGUCCCCAGCUGCCAUCUCCAGAUUCCUAUAGUUUUCUGUUUGAAUUUCUCCUACCGGAUCCUGCUCUGGUUCCUUUUCAUUGGCACCAUUCAUAGUACACCAUUCCUUGCCUGUGGCCUGAGACUCCAUGCUCGUAGCUGCUGGUGAGCCCUCUGGCCUCUCUCCACACACCCUAGUCUCAGAGGAUUCCUGAACUCUGGCAAUAGGGCAGUGCAGCAACUAAUCCAGAUUACAAUUUGACCAAUCCCUUAUUCUUAGCCACUGACCUCUAGCUUGGCCCAAGUAGCUUAUAUUGUUAGUGUCAGAACGUCAACUUCCACCAGAUGCAGGCUUGGGGUCCUGCCGGUUACAGACUGCUCAGUCGGGUCCAUGUGGGUCCUCUAGGGCAGCUGUCUUCCCUCCAGCUUUCCUCCGUUUUAGCUGGUGUGUAAAGUCAGAAAUCCUGUCCCCAGGCUGGAAGCUGUCUUGUACCCUAACUCCUCCUCUCACUAUAUCCUGCUCCUGCUUAAUUCUUUUCCUCUCUGAGACAGUUGAUGGGUCCACCUCUGUGCUCCACACAGCAUUUCAGAUACAGCUGUGGCUGCGCUUACCACAUUAUAUUCGUUAGUUGUUUAUGUGUCUCUCUGCUGGCUCCACUUUUAACUCAUUGAGGGCUGGGUCUU